Molecule: ribosomal RNA, 778 nt
Filed under: Escherichia coli
Lineage: Bacteria; Pseudomonadati; Pseudomonadota; Gammaproteobacteria; Enterobacterales; Enterobacteriaceae
Description: partial 23S ribosomal RNA
Rfam family: Bacterial large subunit ribosomal RNA
Source: RNAcentral
GUAGGGCGGGACACGUGGUAUCCUGUCUGAAUAUGGGGGGACCAUCCUCCAAGGCUAAAUACUCCUGACUGACCGAUAGUGAACCAGUACCGUGAGGGAAAGGCGAAAAGAACCCCGGCGAGGGGAGUGAAAAAGAACCUGAAACCGUGUACGUACAAGCAGUGGGAGCACGCUUAGGCGUGUGACUGCGUACCUUUUGUAUAAUGGGUCAGCGACUUAUAUUCUGUAGCAAGGUUAACCGAAUAGGGGAGCCGAAGGGAAACCGAGUCUUAACUGGGCGUUAAGUUGCAGGGUAUAGACCCGAAACCCGGUGAUCUAGCCAUGGGCAGGUUGAAGGUUGGGUAACACUAACUGGAGGACCGAACCGACUAAUGUUGAAAAAUUAGCGGAUGACUUGUGGCUGGGGGUGAAAGGCCAAUCAAACCGGGAGAUAGCUGGUUCUCCCCGAAAGCUAUUUAGGUAGCGCCUCGUGAAUUCAUCUCCGGGGGUAGAGCACUGUUUCGGCAAGGGGGUCAUCCCGACUUACCAACCCGAUGCAAACUGCGAAUACCGGAGAAUGUUAUCACGGGAGACACACGGCGGGUGCUAACGUCCGUCGUGAAGAGGGAAACAACCCAGACCGCCAGCUAAGGUCCCAAAGUCAUGGUUAAGUGGGAAACGAUGUGGGAAGGCCCAGACAGCCAGGAUGUUGGCUUAGAAGCAGCCAUCAUUUAAAGAAAGCGUAAUAGCUCACUGGUCGAGUCGGCCUGCGCGGAAGAUGUAACGGGGCUAAACCAUG